This 123-nucleotide small RNA is filed under the name unclassified sequences. RNAcentral describes it as "LOOT RNA". It matches the Rfam family "LOOT RNA". From Rfam's summary of the family: Latescibacteria, OD1/Parcubacteria, OP11, TM7. The record is from Rfam by way of RNAcentral.
UGCCUAAACUUCGCGCAAGCGGAGCAUGGCAAUAAAACCCGCUACAGGGACGAGAGCUCCUCGUCAGUUUGCCUGUAGCGGGUCAUUAGCCGAAAGGUUAGUGGGGAUUCCGAAAGGAGUUCC